UACGUGGGGUGCGAGCGUUAAUCGGAAUUACUGGGCGUAAAGCGUGCGCAGGCGGUUUGAUAAGCCAGAUGUGAAAUCCCCGAGCUCAACUUGGGAACUGCGUUUGGAACUGUCAGACUAGAGUGCGUCAGAGGGGGGUGGAAUUCCACGUGUAGCAGUGAAAUGCGUAGAGAUGUGGAGGAACACCGAUGGCGAAGGCAGCCCCCUGGGAUGACACUGACGCUCAUGCACGAAAGCGUGGGGAGCAAACAGG
This 253-nucleotide ribosomal RNA is filed under the name uncultured bacterium. RNAcentral's name for it is "partial 16S ribosomal RNA". It matches the Rfam family "Bacterial small subunit ribosomal RNA", at positions 524 to 776 of the family's 1533-position model. The record is from RNAcentral.